GGUUAAGCGACUAAGCGUACACGGUGGAUGCCCUGGCAGUCAGAGGCGAUGAAGGACGUGCUAAUCUGCGAAAAGCGUCGGUAAGGUGAUAUGAACCGUUACAGCCGGCGAUGUCCGAAUGGGGAAACCCAGUGCAAUUCGUUGCACUAUCGUUAACUGAAUACAUAGGUUAACGAGGCGAACCGGGGGAACUGAAACAUCUAAGUACCCCGAGGAAAA
This 219-nucleotide ribosomal RNA is filed under the name Klebsiella pneumoniae. RNAcentral's name for it is "partial 23S ribosomal RNA". It matches the Rfam family "Bacterial large subunit ribosomal RNA", at positions 1 to 220 of the family's 2925-position model. Lineage: Bacteria; Pseudomonadati; Pseudomonadota; Gammaproteobacteria; Enterobacterales; Enterobacteriaceae. The record is from RNAcentral.